GAGUGUCAUACUUUGUUGUCCCAAGAGUCUGCUUAUCUGUUCUUCCCAGGCACAGCAGAUGACCAUGCAGGCAAUGGCUCUGGCUACCAGCCCACUAACUAGCCCUCUGACCAGCCCACCAGCCAGCCCUCCCACCAGCCCCUAUACUAGACACCCCACCAACCCUUACAUCAGCAAUCCAGCUAACCCCUACGCCAGAACUCCAACGAGUUCACCGAUCCAGGACCACCCCACAAAGACUGUGCCCCCUUUACCUCGAGCUACACUGCCUACUCUGGCCAAGCUAACAACAAGCAGUCAUCCCCACAAACAAACCCCUACACCAACUGUGAACAGGGAGAAACCUGCCUUUCAGAAAGUUGCUGCUUCUACGGGGCCGAGUCGCGGUGCCGCGCCCAAGGAUGUGGUGAGAUCCUCCGUCACCAACUCAGAGCGCAUGGAGCCAAGUCACAAUAUCAAGGACAUCAUCAAACAGUACCAGCCAGCCCCACCAGCGAAGCCUCCAGAGAUAAAAAGGAAAGAGGGAAAAGUGUUUGUGAAGAAGAUGAACCCGCACGAUGAAGCCAUGAUGAUCCUGAAGGCACAGAGGAGCACGCAGCCGCCUCAACCCCAGCAAAAGAAGCCUUUUCCUCCAGCAUUUGCUGCUGCCCAAGC
RNAcentral lists this long non-coding RNA (654 nucleotides) under Scleropages formosus (Asian bonytongue). RNAcentral's name for it is "lncRNA (ENSSFOG00015031960.1)". Lineage: Eukaryota; Metazoa; Chordata; Actinopteri; Osteoglossiformes; Osteoglossidae. The record is from RNAcentral.